Molecule: non-coding RNA, 1203 nt
Organism: Myodes glareolus (Bank vole)
Lineage: Eukaryota; Metazoa; Chordata; Mammalia; Rodentia; Cricetidae
Source: RefSeq, a predicted model, not a curated record
GGCAGGAAAGAUUUGGAAAUCCAUGCAUGUGACUUGAAUCACAGUCAAUAAUAUGAGCCUUUAGGCAGACCGUCGAGCCAGGCGAACACCAACAGGGCAGACCGUCCAGCCAGGCGAACACCACAGGCUCCCAUCCUGGAAGUCGAGGGUCCUGGCCACCUCAGAGCUAAGAAAAGCUUUCAAGGACACUAAAAAUUCAGGUGAAUUCAUCUGAACACAGAGAUGAGUUGGUCAGCAGUUGCAAGGCGGAUGCUACAGAGGAAUCAUAAACACAACAGCCCUUGCUUCCGACAGCGAGAGAGAAGAUCCCUGCCAAUACCGCGACCUUCUGUGGACAUCACUCUCAUCUUUAAAAUUGAGACAAGAAGCCAGAUACCUAAGAGCACAUUCUGAGAUGACAGCAACCUGCGGCUCUGAACCACGCAGGACUCCUGCAUGGAAGGAAAACCAGAACAGCGGUCUCCUGUGGGAAGAGGAAAAGACGACAUGGGUGACUAUGAUGGACACAAAGAGAAGCAUGCUUUCUUGGUGACCAUGUAGAUAAAUGUACAUGUGACAAAACUAACACCCAUGGCCCAUCCAUGGCACGGUAUGCAGACCAUGGGUUGAUGAUGCAAUGGAAAACAGAGAAGAGAGUGACAGACCCCUAAUAUGAUGCGCCUGAAGUUAAACUUGAAAAGGAAGAAACUCAAUAGAGCAUGUGACUCUCCUGCUCCUGAAGACAAGACUCUGAGUAGGGAGGCACAGUCUACUCUCAUUUCCACCUUCAAUUACAGAGUGCUUCUACUUAACAGCAGGUAUUUUGCACACAGUAAGUACUUGGUGUCACUAAUGCCUUUCCCUCUACUCAACCCAUAAUCACAAGCCUACCUUAUCAUCUGAAACCUAAGAACGUGUCCAACACCAAGUAUGAGCAGUGUGUGUGCAUGUAAGUGUAUACGUACAUAUGCAUGUGUGUUUGUGCAUGUGUCUUUAUGUAUGUGUCUAUGUAUGCUCUUGAGUAUGCACAUGUGUGUGUGUGUUGGUGUGUCAGACAAGUCACAUCAGCUCCUAAGGGAUCAACAGACCUAGCACUGUCACAUGAACAAACUUUAGACUCUGAGGAUAAACAGGGAUCCCCACAACUUCUCUCUGCAUGAAGUCAUAAUGAAUACAUCUGAAAUGUAAAUGCAUGACGAAAUUCCUAUCACAUUAUUUGGUGCU